GAUGAACGCUGGCGGCGUGCCUAAUACAUGCAAGUCGAGCGAACGGACGAGAAGCUUGCUUUUCUGAUGUUAGCGGCGGACGGGUGAGUAACACGUGGAUAACCUACCUAUAAGACUGGGAUAACUUCGGGAAACCGGAGCUAAUACCGGAUAAUAUUUUGAACCGCAUGGUUCAAAAGUGAAAGACGGUCCUGCUGUCACUUAUAGAUGGAUCCGCGCUGCAUUAGCUAGUUGGUAAGGUAACGGCUUACCAAGGCAACGAUGCAUAGCCGACCUGAGAGGGUGAUCGGCCACACUGGAACUGAGACACGGUCCAGACUCCUACGGGAGGCAGCAGUAGGGAAUCUUCCGCAAAGGGCGAAAGCCUGACGGAGCAACGCCGCGUGAGUGAUGAAGGUCUUCGGAUCGUAAAACUCUGUUAUUAGGGAAGAACAUAUGUGUAAGUAACUGUGCACAUCUUGACGGUACCUAAUCAGAAAGCCACGGCUAACUACGUG
RNAcentral lists this ribosomal RNA (497 nucleotides) under uncultured bacterium. RNAcentral's name for it is "partial 16S ribosomal RNA". It matches the Rfam family "Bacterial small subunit ribosomal RNA", at positions 28 to 507 of the family's 1533-position model. The record is from RNAcentral.